GCCAACCGACUAACUGACGGGAC
This 23-nucleotide microRNA is filed under the name Ixodes ricinus (castor bean tick). RNAcentral's name for it is "iri-miR-X21-3p". Lineage: Eukaryota; Metazoa; Arthropoda; Arachnida; Ixodida; Ixodidae. The record is from RNAcentral.